Molecule: ribosomal RNA, 207 nt
Filed under: uncultured bacterium
Lineage: Bacteria
Description: partial 16S ribosomal RNA
Rfam family: Bacterial small subunit ribosomal RNA
Source: RNAcentral
CGGGUAGGCGGUCAUGCAAGUCGAAUGUGAAAGCCCAGGGCUCAACCCUGGAAGUGCAUCCGAAACUGCGUGACUUGAGUACCGGAGAGGGUGGUGGAAUUCCUGGUGUAGAGGUGAAAUUCGUAGAUAUCAGGAGGAACACCCGAGGCGAAGGCGACCACCUGGACGGAUACUGACGCUGAGCCGCGAAAGCGUGGGGAGCAAACA